UGGUUAUGUUUCAUUCCCUUAUCUCCAAAGUAGAAAUUCAUGGUUGGCUCUUUCUUCACCAGCUGUCUGUGAGAAGACUCAGCUACAACCACAGACUGGAGCCCAUGAGUGGUGAACUCAGGCUUGCAAGGAGGCUGCACCAGAAUCAUAAGCUUACAGGAGAAACAUUUGAAAAGGUUUGACUCCUGGCACUGACUUUGAUACUUGGAAUUUUGAGGUUCAGGGACUUCAGAGAAUUUGGCAGCACAGCGUAUUGGGAGAAACGGAAAUUUCAGGAGAUGGAUUGAUCACCCUGGUUGACAUGUUUCUGGAAGUGGGUGAGUGGGUUUGAUUGAGAACAUUUUGGGCUCUUGCACUGAUGGUGGGAAAGAAAAAUUCAUGGCGGCACUUCUCAUAAUAAUUCUCUCCCCUGAAAAGAAAGAUCAUGAUAAAGAAUAAUUUGGAAUAAUAAGUAACAAGAUAGAAUUAGAAAAAUGUUGACUUUCCAGAUGACCAGUCAGAAGUGUGGCUUUUUUCACAUCUUUUUCUCCUGCAAUGAUCUGCUCCCAAGUGCUGCACUGCAAUACCAGUCUAACUAACACUUUGUGAAACAAAUUGUUAAGUGUGUAUGUAUGCAUAUCAAGCUAUGCUCUGAGGAUAAAGCAAGUUCUAAUUUGUGGAAAAAGGAUUAAGUAUUUCUGUUUUCUGAAAAAGAAAAAUGUAGAGUAUCUUCCUAUUGCUUCAAACCCUAUACUUCAAUAUCCAAUGUUCGAUAUCUCCAUUAGCCCCAUUGUAUCUUUCACAAUUCAUCCCUCACUGCUUUCUCAUGGGGCCUUCUAUUCUAGCAAGGAAACAUUUUCUUCUCCCCUCCCUCCUGUCAUUUCUCCUUCUUUGGUAAUGUUUUUCCAUUUCUUCCCCUCCAAUCCAAA
This is a long non-coding RNA of Pan paniscus (pygmy chimpanzee), 908 nucleotides long. The record is from Ensembl. NCBI's taxonomy places the organism in Eukaryota, Metazoa, Chordata, Mammalia, Primates, Hominidae.